CAGAGAAUAGUUUAAUUAGAAUAUUAGCUUUGGGAGCUGAAGAUGGGAGUUAAACCCUCUUUUCUCUGG
Molecule: transfer RNA, 69 nt
Filed under: Gymnotus carapo (banded knifefish)
Lineage: Eukaryota; Metazoa; Chordata; Actinopteri; Gymnotiformes; Gymnotidae
Also listed under: 2 other names
Description: tRNA-Pro
Rfam family: tRNA
About the family: Transfer RNA (tRNA) molecules are approximately 80 nucleotides in length. Their secondary structure includes four short double-helical elements and three loops (D, anti-codon, and T loops). Further hydrogen bonds mediate the characteristic L-shaped molecular structure. tRNAs have two regions of fundamental functional importance: the anti-codon, which is responsible for specific mRNA codon recognition, and the 3' end, to which the tRNAs corresponding amino acid is attached (by aminoacyl-tRNA synthetases). tRNAs cope with the degeneracy of the genetic code in two manners: having more than one tRNA (with a specific anti-codon) for a particular amino acid; and 'wobble' base-pairing, i.e. permitting non-standard base-pairing at the 3rd anti-codon position.
Source: RNAcentral